Symphalangus syndactylus (siamang) is the source of this 198-nucleotide long non-coding RNA. RefSeq lists it as uncharacterized. Lineage: Eukaryota; Metazoa; Chordata; Mammalia; Primates; Hylobatidae. The record is from RefSeq and is a predicted model, not a curated record.
CAUUCUGAGUGCAAAGGCCUGGGCAGGCACAGUAGAGGCAUUUCACCCAGCUGGAGGCAAUGGGGGAAGGCUUCCCGGAAGAGGUGUUGCCCUUGCCUUAGCCCCAGUGGGCUAGUCAGCACCAAGGCCUGUCCCGACCUCCGCCCCAAGCUGCCCCGGAGGGAGAAGCCCGCUGUGGACACAGGGAGACUGGCGAGG